AGUGAACGCUGGCGGUAGGCCUAACACAUGCAAGUCGAACGGCAGCACAGUAAGAGCUUGCUCUUACGGGUGGCGAGUGGCGGACGGGUGAGGAAUACAUCGGAAUCUACUUUUUCGUGGGGGAUAACGUAGGGAAACUUACGCUAAUACCGCGUACGACCUACGGGUGAAAGCAGGGGAUCUUCGGACCUUGCGCGAUUGAAUGAGCCGAUGUCGGAUUAGCUAGUUGGCGGGGUAAAGGCCCACAAAGGCGACGAUCCGUAGCUGGUCUGAGAGGAUGAUCAGCCACACUGGAACUGAGACACGGUCCAGACUCCUACGGGAGGCAGCAGUGGGGAAUAUUGGACAAUGGGCGCAAGCCUGAUCCAGCCAUACCGCGUGGGUGAAGAAGGCCUUCGGGUUGUAAAGCCCUUUUGUUGGGAAAGAAAAGCAGCAGGUUAAUACCCCGCUGUUCUGACGGUACCCAAAGAAUAAGCACCGGCUAACUUCGUG
Molecule: ribosomal RNA, 492 nt
Filed under: uncultured bacterium
Lineage: Bacteria
Description: partial 16S ribosomal RNA
Rfam family: Bacterial small subunit ribosomal RNA
Source: RNAcentral